Molecule: long non-coding RNA, 1043 nt
Organism: Xiphophorus hellerii (green swordtail)
Lineage: Eukaryota; Metazoa; Chordata; Actinopteri; Cyprinodontiformes; Poeciliidae
Exons: 2
Source: RefSeq, a predicted model, not a curated record
UGAAGCUCAGGAGAACUCUGAGUCCAGAUGUGGACCCUGGUCUCCUCCAGAACCUCCUCUGUUCUGCUGUGGAGGAACUGUGUGGCUUCAGUUCUGCAGCAGGACCUUCUCAGCUGCAGCAGAAGAAGAAAGGACUUCCUGUGUUCAGGUUGGAUAGAAACCUGGAUAUUUUUCUAGCUUGUGGCUCUGCUUCCAGCGUAGAUGUUCUCCAGGGUUCUGAUCUGGAUCUAGUGGACUGUAGAGCUCAUCAGGUUUCCUCUCAUCCACUUUGAGAUCUUCAGCCUCCUUUAGAUUCAACCUGAAGCUUCUUCUGACGGAGCUGCAGCUAAUAUUUAGCAUGAUGUUUAUUAUUCUAGCCUCAGUGUUCUGUUCUUCAUGUGACUCCACUGAAUCCAACUCUGAUGUCGUCCACUUCAGAAGUGAUGAAGAUCCAUUUUUCUUUCUCUUCCUGCUCAUUUCUUUCCAAAGCUCCCAUUUUUUCCAGGAGGAUCUUCAAUGUUCUCCAGCUCUCUUUAGAUGAUGAAGGAACUCAGACUGACUCCACCCGGCUGGUGCUCCAGAGACAAGAGGAUUAAAAUGCUUCAUAGAAACGUUCUCAGAUCUCAGAUCCUCAUUGAACCUGAUGUCUGUAGUUUUAGUCAGAAGCUCUCCCAGAUGUUCCAGAUGAGAAGAUCUGAGCAUCUGGUUUGGUUGAUCCAGAAGGUUCUGGACUCAUCCAGAAACCCAGAACAACUGGACUCCAGUCACACCUUAAACAGAACAUUCUGCUUCUAAAUCCAGACUGGACCGCUUGAUUUCUUUGGACCUGAAACAUAAAGUGCUGUGAAAAGUAUUUGCUCCUUUACAGAUUUCUUCUGUUUUGCCUUUUUGUCCACCUGAAAUGUUUCAGAUCAUCAAUCUGAUUUUAAUAUUUGAUGAAGAAAAACUUAAUUAAAUUCAAUAAACAGUUUUCAAAUGAUGAUUUUAUUCAUUAAAGGAUUCAUGUGAGAAAAUAAUCACAGUCCUUUGUUAAAUCAUGAACUAAUUGUGAUUAAACCACUUUU